CCGUGAAACGUCCGGGGGCGCUGUGUGAUCGCCACAGGUACCUAUUUAUCUACUUGCACUUUGACGUGCUUUCGAACUGCUAGGUUGGCAGGAGCAGGGACUGAGCAACGGGAGCUCACCCUGUCAUGGGGAUUCGAACCGCCGACCUUCUGAUCGGCAAGCCCUAGGCUCUGUGGUUUAACCCAUAGCGCCACCCACGUCCCUAAUGGAAAUAUUAGAGGAGAUUAAAAAGAAUGAAAAUUAGCAAAGAAUCCAAAAAAUGAGAAGCUAAAUCAAAAUAUUAAAAUGCUGCAAGUACAACUAUCAAUGAUUUUGAAUCAAGAAAUAGAAUCAAAGAUAAAAAUGUUAAAACAAAACAACUUUGAAUUGGCAAAUAAACCUGGAAAGCUGUUGGCUUGGCAAUUAAGGAAGAAACAAAGCGAAAAGCUGAUAAACAAAUUGAUUGUGGAUAGUAAAACAAUUGAGGAACCAAAAAAGGGAAGUAAUAGUUUCUUAGAAUAUUAUAGAGAGUUAUACAGUGGUGCCUCGCAAGACGAAAAGAAUCCGUUCUGUGAGUCUCUUCGUCUAGCGGUUUUUUCGUCUUGCGAAGCAAGCCCAUUGACGGAUUAGCGCUAUUAGCGGCUUUUAGCGGCUUAUCAGCUUAUCGGAUAAGCAGAUAAGCGGCUUAACGGCUUAGAAAAAGGGGGGGAGGGGGGGAAAACCGCAGGAACUCGCAAGACAUUUUCGUCUUGCGAAGCAAGCCCAUAGGAGCUUCGUUUUGCGAAGCACCUCCAAAACGGAAAACUCUUUUGUCUAGCGAGUUUUCCGUCUUGCGAGGCAUUCGUCUUGCGGGGCACCACUGUAUAAAGAAGUCCAAGAGAAACAAGAAAGAAUAGAUGAGUUUUUGAACCAGAAUAAAUUAUGGAAGAUUACAAAAGAAGAGACAACCCAACUGAAUGCCCCAAUUAGUAUGAUGGAAAUUCAACAAGCCAUGGAAAGGAUGAAAGUAGGAAAGACUCCAGGGCCAGAUGGAUUACCAGCCAAAUACUAUUAAAAAAUUAGAAGAUCUACUGUCACUACCAUAUAAAGAGUAGUGAACAACAUCUUAAAUACAGGGAAACUACCAGCAUCAUUUGUUCCCCUAAGGGAACAGAUCCAACAUCAGUUAAGAAUUACCGACCUAUAUCUCUCCUUAAUAAGGAUUACAAAAUAUCCGCAGACAUACUAGCAAAUAGAUUGAAAUGCAUAUUAAAAGAUUAUAUCCAUGAGGAUCAAGCAGGAUUUCUCCCAGGGCGCCACAUGAAAAAUAAUAUAAGAUAUGUGAUAGAUACUCUAGAGCAGGCAUGUCCAAAGUCCAGCCUGAUGCCUGGUUUAAAAUGCCCCCCCCCCAAUUUUGAAAAAUUGAUGUGUUGCGGCCCCCGAGUGCCUGCCUGCUGCUCUGCUUGAAGGAAGGUUAGAGGGAGGCGGGCUGGGCUGUGAUUGGUGCAUCUCUGGUGGCGGCGCUGCAUGAUUGGUCGCGGGAUUCGCUCGCCAGAACCGCCGGCUGCAGCUGCUGGCUGAGGGGGAGGGGCUGGGCCCAAAGAUGCAGGAGAUGCCAGAGGAGAGGUGGGCCGCAGGAAGAGGCCUGGAGCAGCCUCUGCCCAGAAGCCCCUCUCUCCCUCUCUUUAUCUGCCACCCUCUCCCAGCUGUCUCCACCCUGCGCUCCCCAUCCCAUCGCAGCAAAUCUAAAGGGGAUUGGGCAGGGGUUGUGGUGGGAAAGGUGGAACAGCCCCCCCCCCACUUUCCAUAUAGGGAUUUUUUUUUGGUCUCUGGAAUCUUGUGGAGCACAAUGUUUUCACGUCUCUCUUCCACCACCACCCCUUCUCGUUUAAUCUCAUCACUUACUCUUCUCCUCCCCGCAUUUUCUCUCCUCCCCCAUCGGGUCUGGCACUAUGUGUGCGUGCACAUGCCAUAUGUGUGGGUGGGUGGGUGGCAUGCACAUGCAGACACAUAUAUACUGUCUUUCCCCCAGCAAUGGAGAGGAGAGCGCUCUUAAGGAGAGAGGGAAGAAAAAGGGGGAGACAAAAACACACACACAAAAACACUUCCUUUAACAUUUUUUGCUGGUUUGUUUACUACCCUCAUCAAGAGGUUUGUGCCAACUUGGUGUUAUGUUCCUGUUCAUAUUUUUUGAACUUAAAAGUUGACAGACAACCUUUAUUACCAAUAAUAUGUAAUGUACUUUACAAUGUUCCUGACAUAUAUUUCAGCUUCCUGGAUUUUUCCCCCCCAUCUAGCCUUCAGAUAUGAAAGGCAGAGAGAUUUAACACCUGUUUAGAUUUGUCAUCCAUGUGAUGAAAUGAAAAGUAUGCCAUUUGCAAUAAACUUUGCGUAAAAUAGCUAAUUUGCAUUUAAAUUAAUUUGCAUUUAAUUUUAAUGGUUCAAAGAACAUCAGGCAAAAUGGUCAGCCCUCACGCAUAUUCACUUCAUCAAAUCUGGCCCUUUUUGAAUAAAGUUUGGAUACCACUGCUCUAGUUAGAAAUGAAAAACAGGUGGCAUUGUUGUUCAUCGAUGCCGAGAAGGCAUUCAACAACGUCUCCUGGAGGUUAAUGGGGGGGUGAAGAUGAUAGAAGUGGGAGAGAAUUUCUAUAAAGGUAUAAAUAGGGAUGCGGGUGGCGCUGUGGGUUAAACCGCAGAGCCUAGGAUUUGCCGAUCAGAAGGUCGGCGGUUCAAAUCCCCGCGAUGGGGUGAGCUCCCCUUGCUCGGUCCCUACUCCUGCCCACCUAGCAGUUCAAAAGCACGUUAAAGUGCAAGUAGAUAAAUAGGUGCCGCUCCGGCAGGAAGGUAAAUGAUGUUUCCGUGCGCUGCUCUGGUUUGCCAGAAGCGGCUUAGUCAUGCUGGCCACAUGACCCAGAAGCUGUACGCCGGUUCCCUCGGCCAAUAAAGCGAGAUGAGUGCUGCAACCCCAGAGUCGGUCAUGACUGGACCUAAUGGUCAGGGGUCCCUUUACCUAUAAAUGCAAUAUAUUCACAACAAAUAGCUAAAGUAGUUAUAAAUAACAAAUCUAACGUAAAACUGUGAUAUUAAGAGAGGUACAAGACAGGUGUGUCCUUUAUCCCCACUGUUACUUAUUUUGGUGUUGGAAAUUCUGAAUACGAACAUCAGAAAAGAAAAGAACAUAAGGGGUAUAGUUGUCGAAAAUAAGACUUUUAAAGUAAAAGCCUUUGCCGACAACCUGACUAUAACAACGGAAAACCCAAAAGAAGGCAUGCCAGUAGUGAUAGAGAAGAUUACAGAAUUUGGGUUAGUCGCAGGCUUCAAACUCAAUAAAGAAAAAACAAAAAUGUUAAUAAAAAAUAUGAGAGAAGAGGAUAGAAGAGAACUGCAACAACUUACAGGACUGACAAUUUGUAAAAGAAUCAAAUAUAUAGUAAUCUGGAUAUCGGCAAAGAACAUAAAUCUAUAUAAAGACAACUAUAUACCAAUUUGGAAGAAGAUAAAAAGAAGCUUGAAAAUAUGGGACAUGUUAAGAUUAUCAUUCUGGUGUAGGCUCUCCACAAUAAAAAUGUGUUGCCUAAAAUGCUUUUUCUGUUUCAAGCCAUCCCAGUAGUGGACAGUGUAAAACAAUUUAAGACCUGGCAGAAAGAUAUAACAAGAUUUAUUUGGGAGAUUUAUUAGAAUGGUUGGUGAAGGAUGAGGAGGUAAAAUCUGCCAUGGUAAAGUUAAAGUUGUCAUAACAUACAACUCUCAGAUUGGCAAAGACUGUGGAGGGAAGAUCUUAAGUUUACAGCUUGUUUUUCUAUUAAGGAAAACUACAUGAAGGUCUUCUAUUGCUGGUAUAUAACAUCGAGGAAAUUAGCGAUAAUGUACAAAAAUAAUUCAAAUCGUUGCUGGAAAUGUAAGGAGGGAUCAGUGUAUCAUGUAUGGUGGACCUGUAAAAGAAUGAAGGAAUUUUGGGACUCAAUUUAUAAUGAGUUGAAAAAGAUGUUUAAAAUCUCAUUCCCCCCAAAACCUGAGGCAUUUCUUUUAGGGAUUAUUGGGCGAGAGAUCCCAAGAGAGCUAAAGAAAUUAUUUAUGUACGCCACCACGGCAGCGAGAGUUUUGAUUGCACAAAACUGGAAAAGUGAAACAAUACUGUCAAUGAAAGAUUGAAUAUGCUGAGAUGGAUACAUUGACAGGACAAGAUAAGGGAUUUAGCAAAGAUUGGAAUACAUUCAAAUUUAGCAAAGAUUGGAAUACAUUCAAACAAUUCCUGAAAUACCACUGCAGAGAAUUAAAUUUUUUGACUGGUUUAGAUUAACUCUUGUAAUUUUGUUGUUGUUGUUGUUUAGUCGUUUAGUCGUGUCCGACUCUUCGUGACCCCAUGGACCAGAGCACACCAGGCACUUCUGUCCUCCACUGCCUCCCGCAGUUUGAUCAAAUUCAUGCUGGUAGCGUCAAGAACACCAUCCAACUCUGUCGUCUCCUUCUCCUUGUGCCCUCCAUCUUUCCCAACAUCAGGGUCUUUUCCAGGGAGGUCUUCUCUUCUCAUGAGGUGGCCAAAGUAUUGGAGCCUCAGCUUCACGAUCUGUCCUUCCAGUGAGCACUCAGGGCUGAUUUCCUUAAGAAUGGAUGUGUUUGGUCUUCUUGCAGUCCAUGGGACUCUCAAGAGUCUCCUCCAGCACCAUAAUUCAAAAGCAUCCAUUCUUCGGCGAUCAGCCUUCUUUAUGGUCCAGCUCUCACUUCCAUACAUCACUACUGGGAAAACCAUAGCUUUUACUAUACUCUUGUAAUUAGAAACAUCAAAAUGUAACAGUUAAGAUGGUUACCAACAAUCUAGAUUCACAAUGAUAUGCAUUCAACCAAGAACUCAAAAGGAACCAACUAAGAAGGGGAGGGAAGUCAGAGGUAAUUAGAACAUCAGUAAGUUGAAUGAUACAGAACAUUUUUUUAUGAUUUAGAAGCAUUAGUACAUCAACAAGAAAUUGAAACUGCAUAAGAAAGCAUUUCUGUUGUAAAAAAACCCCAAUAAAGGUGAAUGGGGGGGGGGGAGAGAAAUUGCAUUGCCCAUUGCAGUGCUGGAAAGGAAGAAAGUGUUGAGAGGAAUUAACAGCUGUUUGAGUUAGUUAAUUUAUAAUGAUGCUUAAAACCGCAUCCAGCAACCAGAAAGCACAUGAGCACAACAAUCUAGGACCCAAAACUUUGAAACUAAGUAAGCAAACACCAAAGUUCUUUCACUUUAAUUUUAAUUUCCCCGAGGAUACACCAAAGACGUAAAAACCCAUCAUCCAAAUUAAUCUAUUUUGGAUUAUCACUUUCAUUGGCAUUAAAAUACUGCCACACUGUGGCUGCAGCUGGGAAUAAGGAAUAUGAAUAUAGCAGGGCUUGUGUGCUACAAGUCUAUGACUAAUUGGACGUAAUUAUAAGAUGUUUACAGUGUGUAUGAAUAGAAACAUUUAUAAAUUGUAAUUGAGUUGUUUUUGCAAUACCCAUUUAGACUGCACAAGGGUAGGGAAGCAGACACAAAUUACAUUUUUGUGUUCAAUAGUGUAUUUCCUAUGAGACCCAGUCUAAAAAUCAUACCAGAACUCAGGUUGCCUGUGGGUGCAGUGCAGGGACACACACUGUAUUGACUCCACAUCUUGUCUCGUGUGAUAAGGUUUCGUGUUUUUAAAACACCUUUUUGACAUGGAAAAGGUAACAAAUGUGUUAAUAGUCAAUUAUGUAUGUACCCUUUUAAAAAAAUUAAAGAAAUGGUGAGACUUGAGUACCAAGAAAAGAACUAAGUAUUUUUCUUUCUUUUUUUUGCAAAUAAUUUUUAUUAAUUUUCUAAUACAAAUUUAUAUAAGUUUUAACAUCCAAUUUUCACCAACUUUUUCUUUUGAACUUCCAUCAGCAUGUCUGACAAUUCUCCGUAGUAUCACCUUUUCUCACAUUUCACAAUUUAAUAUUGCAUUAUAACAUUCCUUACCCUAUCAUAUUAUUUAUACAAUAUUUCUACUGUUACUUCUCACAAACUUUCUUGAAAGCUUACAAAUGUUAACUGUUCAUCACAAAUAUGUUUAAUAUAUUCUGUAAAUUUAUUCCAGUCCUCAGUGAAUCUCUGAUCUCGUCUAGUCCGAAUCCUCCCUGUUAAUUUGUCCAUUUCUGCGUAUUCCAUCAGUUUCAUUCUCCAUUCUUCAAUCGUAGGCAAUUCUUCUUGCUUCCACUUCUGGGCCAUCAGAAUUCUAGCUGCUGUUACCGCAUAUAAAAAUAUUUUCUCAUCCUUUUUAAUCUCAUAACCUAACAUUCCUAGUAAAAAUGCUUCUGGCUUCUUAGCAAAAUGUAUAUUUCAACAUUUUCUUUAACUCAUUAUAAAUCAUUUCCCAGAAGCGUUUUACUUUUUUACAUUCCCACCACAUAUGAUAAAAUGUUCCUUCUUUUUCCUUACAUUUCCAACAUUUAUUACUCAUUUUAUACAUCUUACCAAGUUUUACCGGUGUUACGUACCAUCUAUAUAUCAUUUUCAUAACAUUUUCUUUUAUUGUAGUACAUGCAGUAAACUUCAUUCCUUCCUUCCACAACUUUAUCCAAUCAGCAAAUUGAAUAUUAUGUCCAAAAUCUUUGGCCCAGUGUAUCAUAGCCGAUUUAACCUCUUCAUCCUUUGUAUACCACUCUAAUAAUAGUUUGUACAUUUUGGAUAAAAAAUUAACCUCAUUAUUCAAUAUUUAUUGUUGAAACCUAGAUUCCUUUUCAGAAAAACCUCUUUCCAAUAGCUCUUUUUUAAACAUUUCAUUCGACUGAAAAUAAUGCAACCAAUCAUUCACACAUACUUUCACUUCUUCAUAUGGUUUCAACUUCCAUUUAUUUACUUCUUUACUUAUUAAAUUUCCAUAUGUUAUCCAUUUCCCUGUCAUAUUGAUCUUUUUAACACUCAUUACUUCCAGUGGCGAUACCCAAUAUGGAGUUUUGGGCUCCAGUAGGUUUUUGUACCUACUCCAUACCUCAAUUAGAGAUCCCCUGAUGAUGUGGUUUUCAAAACCUUUAUGUACUCUUUUUUUAUCAUGCCAUAAAUAUGCGUGCCACCCGAAUCUAUUAUCAUAAAGUUCUAAAUCCAACAAUUCUGUAUGUUCUAACUUCUUUUUUUUUAAAUGAUAUUUAUUGAGAAUUUAAAAUUACAGAGAAAGAAAGAAAAAAACAAGAGAAAAAGAAAAAGAAAGAAAAAGGUAGACAAAAAUAACAAUUGAACAAUACAAGUCAAUAAAAACCAAAGUCAAAGAAAAAAACACACACAAUACAUCAAAAUCAAAAAAACAAAAAUAAACAAAAAAUUUAAAAACAAAUCCAAUAUUCCCAAAUCCUUAUUUUCCAUUAACUUAUUUCAUCAACCUCCUCACACCUCCCUUUUUUGUAUUCUAGUUAUUAAUUAUCUCAGCAAAUCCUUUCCAUCUUUCACAAUAUUCUGUCAUUAAAUUACCUUAAUCUAUUUUAACCUUAUCUUACCAUAAAAACCCUAAAGCUUAAAACUUAAGUCUUAUUUAUACCUAAUUCUUUUAAGCAUAACAUAUUCUUACAUAAUUCUUUUUAACAUUUCUACUAAAGCCAAAUAAUUUCAUUCCAACAUUUUUCUAGUACUCAUUAAUUUUACGAUAAUUUUCUAAAUAAAUUUUUAAAACUUUCUUCCAAUCUUCAUCCAUCGUCUCUUCUUCCUGGUCUCGGGUUUUGUCAGUCCUUUCUAUCCCAUCCAUCUAGUCCAUCAACCUGGUGACCUUCUAUCCGAGGCUCUUAAGUCUUUUCCAUGUCCCUUCCGCAGGUCUUCUUCAUGUUUGUACCUGUACUUUACUUUGUCUUCUGCUGAUCUUAUUCUUAAUUUCCUUCCUUUCUCUCGGGGAGACUCCAACUUGACAAUAUCUUUGUCCCUUCUCGACAAGUCAGCCCAUUCUCCAUGGUCGACACUGAAAUCCAUAUGAUAUUUAGAGGCAUGUUUCAAAGUCCCUCCAAAGUUAAGGGCCCCCACAACUCACAACUCCCCCUGGCCCAAAGCCAAAUUCGAAAGGUCAAAACAUCCCUGCAUAGGGGGAUCUAUCCAGCUUCCCAUCUCUAAGCCAAACAGAACUCCAUCUCUCCAAAUCUGGCUUUCUCCAGAUUCAUUCGUCAGAUCCAACAACUUAUGUUCCUGCAGAGCCGCAGCUCUCUCCAUUUCUGCUACUUGAGGUUCAGGAACAACCUCCUCCUUUAUCUUCUUCACCACUUGAUCUGUCAAAGCACAUUCCUGGAUUAAUUCCUGAGUGGGUUCUAUAUAGGUAUUCACUGUUUGUCCAAAAUUUCCGACUGCAACAGUCAUCAAAUCCAUCUUCUCAUGUAGCUGUUCCAGUAAAGCACUUGUCUUGCAAAGAGCAAGCACUAACGCUUGUUCUACGCACAUUCUUGUUCAAGGUCAAAGUCUGGUCCCACGAUCUUUAAUCUCUACAGCUGCAAAGCUCCCCAGAUCGACUCUAAUAACAGUUUCACAAGCUCCUCUAGGGGAAACAAUUUCUAUUUGUAUCCGUCUUUUUAAAAGCAGAUCUAGCAACAAAGUUCCUUUCCUUUUUCAGAUAUUUUGUUUCUUUUAAAUGCAAGAGGGAACAUUGGAAUCAAUAUGAACUUCCUCAAAGCGUCCGUUCUGACACCCCGCUCCCAGGUUCAAGACGGUGGAAAUUUAUCUUUCUUUACUCUCUCUUCUGCAGGUUUAAACAGUCUAAAAAGAUCCCCCCCCUCUUCUCCUGCUUCCAAGGGGGUUUAGUAAUUUUAAAUGAUGGAAAUUUAAUCCUUUCCAGAUGACUUUCCAGACUCUAGCUUGCAAUGUCUUUGCUUCAAUCUAUUUACAAAAGCGGAAGGCGGACUUCCUGUUUAGACCUUCCCGCUUCGGUGCCAAAUUAAGAAAUUUCAUAGUCCAAUUUUCCGUUCUACUCACAAGCAGUUGUUUAAGAUCCAGUUGUCCACAGGAAAAAGUCAGCGCUCUCCGGCAACAGCAAUGCGGCUUCACUCCAUGAAAAAAGCACCACGGCGAAGCACCACGCCAGAUAGAUAGAUAGAUAAUACUUUAUUCGGCUAUAAGCCCACAAGGUAAAACAAAUCAAUAGAUAAAAAUCAAUAGAUAAAAUCAAUAGCAUUUUACAAUCUAAAAUAUCAACUAAAAUAUUUCAACGCAUAAUCUCUAACUGUACCGUGUUAUGGCCUUGAAGAUAAAGAUGGUGCAUAGAGUUUACUGAAUUUUUAAUAGUCAUGCAGCAUUCCCUGAAGUCUUUUAUAAGACAGAACUGAGAUCAGGAAUCUAGCAACCUGUAAAGUUCUAUAAGAGUCAAUGUCCUGGAGUAGAUAAGCUAGAUGUAAUUCAGGUGGUUUAGCAGCAAUUUCCAGGAUGAUUGAACUCAGGAUCCUUGAUCGGGGAACAUUGUAUAAGGGGCAAUUAAACAAGAUAUGAUAAAGGGAUUCUAUCGAUUUGUUGUCACAUGCGCACAAAACAGAGAUUUUACCGUUAGAAAAUCUAUUGCUCAGCACAUUUGAGGGGAACACAUUAAAUCUGGCUCUAACAAAUGCGAAUCUAUGCGACGCAGCCGAUAAAGUAGACAGAUAUCGAGGUAUCUGGGACAUAGAUGUAAUGCCCUGAUAUAUCGGGGAACAUGUACCUCCACCUGUGGUAAGAUUUUGUUGUAAAUCUACAUCCUCCAAUCUUUGUUUGAUGACCUUUUUAGCUGUAAUUAGAUCUAAAUUAAGUAUAUCGGAGGGAGAGAUUCCAUAAGACAACAGUUUGGAAUGGAUUUUUGUUGCCCAUGGGCUGGUGAAUUCAUCUCUCCAAAGGCACUGAAUAAGAUGGUAGUUUGGCAAUUUAUGCCAAAGGGACAGCCAAUAAUUAAAGGCAUGUCUCCACAUCAGAAUCUCAAGGGAGGGGGUCUUAAGUUCUAAGCGAAUGGCAGAGUUGCUUACACAGGAGGGUAGUUUCAAAAGACGCCCCAUAAAGGGACCACAUAGGCCAUAGUUGCAACCACUUUUGCACUAUAAACUUUUAAGGCGGAUGGAACAUGCAUAGCCCCUCAGUAAAGAAGAAGCGUAGUAUAGCGUAGAUAAGGGCUUUCACCUUGUUUUGUAAAUAUGUGAUAUGCGCUUUCCAUCCCAUAUUAUACUGGAAGUAAAUUCCUAGAUAUUGAAAUUUGUAAACUUGUUCAAUUGGCUUCCCCUCAAGUUCCCAUCUAUACAGUUUACGACUCCUGGAAAAAAUUAGGACUUUAGAUUUGGAAUGGUUAAUAGUGAGUAAAUUUGUUUGGCAAUAUGAUGCAAAAAUCUUAAGGGCCCUCCUCAAACCGAUUCGAGAAUAAGAGAGGAUCACCGCAUCGUCAGCGUACAAUAAUAAGGGGCAGCGAUAGUCUGCAAGCCUGGGUGCAUGAAUGGAGGUUUGGGCCUCAGCUAGGGGCGUCCUCAUGUCACUAAUAUAGAGGUUAAAAAGAUAGGGGCAAGGAUACACCCUUGUCGUACCCCUUGUUUAUUGGAACUGAGUUUGUUAGAUCGCCCUCAGGUGUUAACCUCACCCUAGCAGCCGUCCCUUCAUGUAAUUUAAUCAAUAGCCACAACAGCCUUUUUUCUAUGCCCCACUUUGCCAGUUUUUCCCAUAACAGCUCUCUAGAGAUACUGUCAAAAGCCGCCUUCAGGUCUAUAAAGCGGCACAUAGAAGACCAUGAGUAGGGGAAGAAUUUUUCCGCGCCAAAUGAUAUAGAAUUAUAGCAUGGUCAAUAGAAGCGCGAUUUGGUCUAAACCCGACCUGUUCAUGGCCUAUCAGAUUGGAAUCUUCGGCCCAUUAGGUUAGUCUGGUUAGCAAGAAGCGAGUGUAGAUUUUUCCGAUGAUUGAUAAUAAACUGAUAUUACGAUAGUUUCCUGGGUCCUCUGGUGGUCCUUUUUUAUAUAUAGGAAUUAUGAUGGACUCCUUCCAUGAUGUAGGUAUCUGGCCCGUGGCAUUGAUUGCAUCAAAGAUUUUUGCUAGAAUUUUAGCCCACCAUAUUGGAUGUUGUUUAAUAGCUUCCGCCGGGAUCAGAUCGGGCCCUGGGGCACCACGCCAUUCACCCCACGUUGCUCCGGAUCCCCGAAACUGGGUUUCCCCACGAGUAGGGGAGGCGCGAAAGGUGCCAGCCGAAUCCCACGUCCACAGGCUUCUCCCGCCUGUGGUUUUUAAUGGGUCUCCGCCUCGCCGUGGCGGUCGAGACCCUAAUUCUCACGAAGCGGAUUCCUCCCGAUCAGAGGAAAUCCGCCAUUGCCAGAGGCGCUAACCCAGAAGUCUGGCUCUGUAUGUUCUAACUUCUUCCAUUCUUUCAACCAACAAAUACAUGAUGCCUCAUAGUAUAAUCUUAAAUCUGGCAGAGCGAAGCCUCCUCUAUCUCUUGCAUCUAUUAAUAUCUUAAAUUUAAUUCUCGGCUUCUUCCCCUGCCAAAUGUAUCUUGAUAUUAUUCUUUGCCAUUCUUUAAAUAUUGCCACUCCCUUAAUUAUUGGAAUUGUUUGGAAUAGAAACAACAUUUUCGGUAACACGCUCAUCUUCAUCGUUGCAAUUCUUCCCCAAAAUGAUAAUUUCAUUCUCCCCCACACCUCCAGAUCUCUCUUAAUCUUAUUCCAUAUUGGUACAUAAUUAUUCUGAAAUAGAUCAAUACUCCUGGGGGUUAAUAUAAUUCCUAAAUAUUUCACUUUCUUAACCACCUCGAUCUCUGUCUGUUGUUGUAUUUUUUCAGUUGUGUCAUAAUCCAUAUUCUUUACAAUUAUCUUAGUUUUUUUCUUAUUUAACUUAAAACCAGCCACCUGUCCAAAUUGUUCUAUCUCAUCCAGCACCUCUUUAACACUUUUUAUGGGAUCUUCUUUCGUUAUAACCAAGUCAUCGGCAAAUGCUUUUACUUUAUAUUCAUUACAUCCAACUGUCACACCUUUUAUACCUUCGUUAUUUCUUACUGAUCUUAGGAAGACUUCUAGGAAGAACUAAGUAUUUUUCAUGGUCCUUGUUGUGUGGGUAGGUGAUGAAUUCAGGAAUGUAUGAAGAUGCCCAACACAAAUCCACAUCUUUGGUCCAUCUAGCCUGAUAUUGUUGGUGGCCAACAACUCUCCAAGGCACCUGGAGCCUUCUGCUUGGGUACCACACAGCUAUGGACCCUUCUUGACGGGUUGGCAUUACGUUGCUUUGCAACUAUUUACACCAAUUACCACAGAACCAAUAUUGCUGCUCCAUCAUCCCUCAGCUGCCUCCUGAGGAUGGGGUCCUGGCCUUUAAGCCAGCCAAUCCUGGGCAGAACUGCAGGGUGUUAAGAACAGCAGUGUGCACAGGUUGGAACUUUCUAGAUCUCUGACAGGAAUGGAAGUCAUUCCUUCCAUUCAACAGACAGAAUUCUGGCUAUUUGCUAAGCAAAGAGGAAACCGUCUUUCCAUAAACUGCUUUCCUAGCCACUGUGGAGAAGAAAUGGAGACAGAGAACCUUGUUGGUUAAUUCCAUGGCUACUUCUUUUUCAGAGUUUUUAAUUCUAUCUUCUUUCAUGUGCAUGUUUGAGGCCUUUUCACUAGUGUGUGUGGCCAUGCAGUGCAUUGUUACCUAUCCUUUUAUACAUACCCUGUUAGAUACUCCUAGCAGAACCCAGAGCAACAUGGAGACCCCUGAAGGAGGAUGAGAGUUCUCUGGGACAACACAAGGCGCAGCUCUGCUGCAAAGCUUUAUUGCAUGCAGAAGUUCCUGGGUGCAAUUCUUGGCACAGCCAGACGGGGCCAGCAAAGACCAAAGGGUGCAGACGUUGACAGAGCAGCCGUCGGAGUUGAUAUAGGACUGCUUCCUAUGUUCCUCCAAACUCCAGCCGCCUUCCUAGCACCCAGCUCAGCUUGCUCCUGCCAUUUCGCCCGUUUCCCACAGUUUUAUCUUACGUGGAACCUACACAUGUAUAAAAACCGUUCUGAAAAUGCAUUUUUUGUGUUUUAAAAAACAUUUAAUUUUCCAUAAGGCUCACCAUCGUCAUCUAGUGUCACAUUGUAUAUUGCACUUAAAACGUUUUAUUUGCAGCUGCACAUCUGAGUCCUUAGUCCUCAGGGCAGAAUUGUUCAACAAUGUCCUUGCAACUCUUCCAAGGACAUGAUGUUUGGUUUUUAAAAUAUUGUCCCACCUUUGGGGAUUAGUAAAGAGUAGGAUUGUGGGGGUCAGUACCCAGCUUGUUCCCAUUCAGAGGCAGGUUUUCCCAGGGAAAAGCAAAUCCUGGAAAGCACGGGCCAAGCAAAGAAGCGUCUCCGUGAGCCCAGAGGCCGGCUUGGCUUCUAGCUGCGUUUGAAGAACUUUCUCCAGCAGACUGGACUUCCUGGCAGCCAGGUGGAAGCAGCACCUCUUCAGAGAUGGGGCUGGCCUGCUCCACGUGUGCUUGUGCCUGUGUGUUUUAAUAACUACAAAUGUUUUUCUAAAGCGGGAGAUAUUAUUUGCAGCUGACCUUAUGGUUCUAGAAACCACGCCCACCCCCUGCAUCACCUGCCUUGAAUGCAGAAGGUCCUGAGUUCAAUUCCCACUCCUUCCUGAAACCCUGCAGAAUGGCUGCCUGUCAUGUAGCCCAGCCGUUCUCUAACUUGGGUCUCCAGAUGUUGUUGGGACUGUGAGAGUAUAUAUGUGUGUGUGUGUGUGUGUGUGUGUGUGUGUGUAUACACACACAUAUUUAAUCUAUUUGAUUUUCAAAAAUAUAAGCAAAAGCAUAAAACAGUACAAAAUCCAGAUAUCAAGAUUACUCUGAAUCUCCUGACUUCCCUCCUUCCAUGGGCCCUUUUGGUUCUAUUUUCAACUGCAUAUCAGUACUUCUCCAAUUUUUCAUCUUCCUAAGUUAUCUAUGGUGUGCUCUGGUCCAGGGGGUCACAGAGUCGGACACGACUAAACGACUAAACAACAACAACAUUAUCUAUAUUUUCUGUUACAAGUGUAUUUAAAAUCCUGCUAAUGUUUUGACCUGUUUACAGUGAUUUUGUAUAUACAUUAUAAACAAUUCUCAUUCUUUUUAAAAUUUCUUGUCUUCUUGAUUCCCAGAUAAUUUUGCCAUUUUGGCAUAGUCCAUCAACUUGAUCUGCCAUUCUUCUCUGGACGGGACUGUCUCUUCCUUCCAUCUCUGGGCUAGUAACAUCCAGGUGGCUGUUGUAGCAUACAUGAACAAUUUCCUCUGGUCCUUUGGGAUUUGGUACCUAUAAUUCCUAAUAAAAAGGCUUCUGGUUUUUUAACAAGA
Molecule: long non-coding RNA, 14159 nt
Filed under: Podarcis lilfordi (Lilford's wall lizard)
Lineage: Eukaryota; Metazoa; Chordata; Lepidosauria; Squamata; Lacertidae
Source: RNAcentral